RNAcentral lists this ribosomal RNA (497 nucleotides) under uncultured bacterium. RNAcentral's name for it is "partial 16S ribosomal RNA". It matches the Rfam family "Bacterial small subunit ribosomal RNA", at positions 28 to 507 of the family's 1533-position model. The record is from RNAcentral.
GAUGAACGCUGGCGGCGUGCCUAAUACAUGCAAGUCGAGCGAACAGACGAGGAGCUUGCUCCUCUGACUUUAGCGGCGGACGGGUGAGUAACACGUGGAUAACCUCCCUAUAAGACUGGGAUAACUUCGGGAAACCGGAGCUAAUACCGGAUAAUAUAUUGAACCGCAUGGUUCAAUAGUGAAAGACGGUUUUGCUUUCACUUAUAGAUGGAUCCGCGCCGCAUUAGCUAGUUGGUAAGGUAACGGCGUACCAAGGCAACGAUGCGUAGCCGACCUGAGAGGGGGAUCGGCCACAAUGGAACGGAGACACGGUCCAGACGCCUACGGGAGGCAGCAGUAGGGAAGCUUCCGCAAUGGGCGAAAGACUGACGGAGCAACGACGCGUGAGUGAUGAAGGUCUUCGGAUCGUAAAACUCUGUUAUUAGGGAAGAACAAAUGUGUAAGUAACUAUGCACGUCUUGACGGUACCUAAUCAGAAAGCCACGGCUAACUACGUG